This 497-nucleotide ribosomal RNA is filed under the name uncultured bacterium. RNAcentral describes it as "partial 16S ribosomal RNA". It matches the Rfam family "Bacterial small subunit ribosomal RNA", at positions 28 to 507 of the family's 1533-position model. The record is from RNAcentral.
GAUGAACGCUGGCGGCGUGCCUAAUACAUGCAAGUCGAGCGAACAGACGAGGAGCUUGCUCCUCUGAUGUUAGCGGCGGACGGGUGAGUAACACGUGGAUAACCUACCUAUAAGACUGGGAUAACUUCGGGAAACCGGAGCUAAUACCGGAUAACAUGUUGAACCGCAUGGUUCAACAGUGAAAGACGGUUUUGCUGUCACUUAUAGAUGGAUCCGCGCCGCAUUAGCUAGUUGGUAAGGUAACGGCUUACCAAGGCAACGAUGCGUAGCCGACCUGAGAGGGUGAUCGGCCACACGGGAACUGAGACACGGUCCAGACUCCUACGGGAGGCAGCAGUAGGGAAUCUUCCGCAAUGGGCGAAAGCCUGACGGAGCAACGCCGCGUGAGUGAAGAAGGUCUUCGGAUCGUAAAACUCUGUUAUUAGGGAAGAACAAAUGUGUAAGUAACUAUGCACGUCUUGACGGUACCUAAUCAGAAAGCCACGGCUAACUACGUG